This 440-nucleotide ribosomal RNA is filed under the name uncultured bacterium. Its description in RNAcentral is "partial 16S ribosomal RNA". It matches the Rfam family "Bacterial small subunit ribosomal RNA", at positions 338 to 795 of the family's 1533-position model. The record is from RNAcentral.
CCUACGGGCGGCAGCAGUGGGGAAUAUUGCACAAUGGGGGAAACCCUGAUGCAGCGACGCCGCGUGAGUGAAGAAGUAUUUCGGUACGUAAAGCUCUAUCAGCAGGGAAGAAAAUGACGGUACCUGACUAAGAAGCCCCGGCUAACUACGUGCCAGCAGCCGCGGUAAUACGUAGGGGGCAAGCGUUAUCCGGAUUUACUGGGUGUAAAGGGAGCGUAGACGGCAGCGCAAGUCUGGAGUGAAAUCCCAUGGCUUAACCAUGGAACUGCUGUGGAAACUGUGCAGCUAGAGUGCAGGAGAGGUAAGCGGAAUUCCUAGUGUAGCGGUGAAAUGCGUAGAUAUUAGGAGGAACACCAGUGGCGAAGGCGGCUUACUGGACUGUAACUGACGUUGAGGCUCGAAAGCGUGGGGAGCAAACAGGAUUAGAUACCCUAGUAGUC